RNAcentral lists this transfer RNA (63 nucleotides) under Sagaminopteron nigropunctatum. RNAcentral's name for it is "tRNA-Glu". Lineage: Eukaryota; Metazoa; Mollusca; Gastropoda; Cephalaspidea; Gastropteridae. The record is from RNAcentral.
GUCUUAGUAGUAAAAAUUUAUUACUUUAUCUUUUCGAGAUAAAAGUGCCUUCCGCCUAAGAUU